UGGGGAAUAUUGCACAAUGGGCGCAAGCCUGAUGCAGCAACGCCGCGUGAGUGAUGAAGGCCUUCGGGUCGUAAAACUCUGUCCUAAGGGAAGAUAAUGACGGUACCUUAGGAGGAAGCCCCGGCUAACUACGUGCCAGCAGCCGCGGUAAUACGUAGGGGGCAAGCGUUAUCCGGAAUUACUGGGCGUAAAGGGUGCGUAGGUGGCCUGACAAGUCAGGGGUCAAAGGCAACGGCUCAACCGUUGUAAG
RNAcentral lists this ribosomal RNA (250 nucleotides) under uncultured bacterium. RNAcentral's name for it is "partial 16S ribosomal RNA". It matches the Rfam family "Bacterial small subunit ribosomal RNA", at positions 355 to 622 of the family's 1533-position model. The record is from RNAcentral.